This 402-nucleotide ribosomal RNA is filed under the name bacterium. RNAcentral's name for it is "partial 16S ribosomal RNA". It matches the Rfam family "Bacterial small subunit ribosomal RNA", at positions 355 to 776 of the family's 1533-position model. The record is from RNAcentral.
UGGGGAAUUUUGCACAAUGGGGGAAACCCUGAUGCAGCGACGCCGCGUGAUUUAGAAGGCCUUCGGGUUGUAAAAAUCUUUUCUAUGGGAAGAAAAUGACAGUACCAUAGGAAUAAGGACCGGCUAAUUACGUGCCAGCAGCCGCGGUAAUACGUAAGGUCCGAGCGUUUUCCGGAAUCAUUGGGCGUAAAGGGUACGUAGGCGGGUAAGCAAGUUAGGAGUGAAAUCCUAUAGCUCAACUAUAGUAAGCUUUUAAAACUGCUCAUCUUGAGGUAUGGAAGGGAAAGGGGAAUUCCUAGUGUAGCGGUGAAAUGCGCAGAUAUUAGGAGGAAUACCGGUGGCGAAGGCGACUUUCUGGCCAUAACCUGACGCUGAGGUACGAAAGCGUGGGUAGCAAACAGG